CAGCACUGUGGUUGGUCAUCUUUGUGCAAGUGGUAGUGUCAUAAUGCAUUUUCAUUGUGUUCAGUUUGGUAUUCAUCUGCAAAAUCCCAUAAUAUAGCAAAAACUCUGUGAUACAGAAUUAGAUAUAUUUAACAACAACAAAAAACACAAUACAAUGAAGUUGCAAUAAGUGAAUCAUGAUAUAGCGAGGGACGACUGUACCCCACCAUAUCUACUGUUCUCCAAACUCAGUAUGGUAUUUCAUCCUUUUGUAUGAGCUUUAGUGAAUUCCUGGAAUAUUCUCCCAACUCACCAAUGCCUCUCAAAAUACUUCAUUUCCUUCAGGUUUCCAUCUCCAAAGAGAAACUUUUGUUACUCCCUGUAAAUGUGGAAGAACCAGUGACGGGAAUUUCUCUCAUUCUCACCAAUCUGGAAGAACUAGUUACUAAGAUGGAGAUGAUGGUAACUCUGAUUGGGGAGAGGGGGUUAAGAAGUGGGAAUGUGUAUGAAAGUGAUUAACUUCAUAUUCGAUUUUGUGAUGAAAACUAUGCAUAGUCUGACAUGCACCUUUGAUUUGGGGAGAGUAAAUUUCAAAAAGUUCAGAGAAAGAAUACACAAAAUCAGCCUAAAAUUCUACUGGGUAAAUCAAUCUAAGAGGUGUUUGGUAACCUUGCAAAGACAAAACAUUCUGAUAUAGAAGGAGGAGGAGAAAGGAUGUCUAGAGACCAACACUGAUACUCAGGAAACACAGCAAGCAUGUGAGAUGUAUAUGUAUAUGUACAAGUCACAGCAUACUUGUGAAAUAUUAAAAAUAAAGACACCUCCCCAAAAAGUCUGUUUAAAAAA
This 825-nucleotide long non-coding RNA is filed under the name Monodelphis domestica (gray short-tailed opossum). Its description in RNAcentral is "lncRNA (ENSMODG00000033101.2)". Lineage: Eukaryota; Metazoa; Chordata; Mammalia; Didelphimorphia; Didelphidae. The record is from RNAcentral.